Molecule: ribosomal RNA, 253 nt
Filed under: uncultured bacterium
Lineage: Bacteria
Description: partial 16S ribosomal RNA
Rfam family: Bacterial small subunit ribosomal RNA
Source: RNAcentral
UACGAAGGGGGCUAGCGUUGUUCGGAAUUACUGGGCGUAAAGCGCACGUAGGCGGACAUUUAAGUCAGGGGUGAAAUCCCGGGGCUCAACCCCGGAACUGCCUUUGAUACUGGGUGUCUCGAGUCCGGAAGAGGUGAGUGGAAUUCCGAGUGUAGAGGUGAAAUUCGUAGAUAUUCGGAGGAACACCAGUGGCGAAGGCGGCUCACUGGGCCGGUACUGACGCUGAGGUGCGAAAGCGUGGGGAGCAAACAGG